This 744-nucleotide ribosomal RNA is filed under the name Salmonella enterica subsp. enterica serovar Dublin. RNAcentral describes it as "partial 23S ribosomal RNA". It matches the Rfam family "Bacterial large subunit ribosomal RNA", at positions 512 to 1223 of the family's 2925-position model. Lineage: Bacteria; Pseudomonadati; Pseudomonadota; Gammaproteobacteria; Enterobacterales; Enterobacteriaceae. The record is from RNAcentral.
AGGCGAAAAGAACCCCGGCGAGGGGAGUGAAAAAGAACCUGAAACCGUGUACGUACAAGCAGUGGGAGCACAGGUUUACCUGUGUGACUGCGUACCUUUUGUAUAAUGGGUCAGCGACUUAUAUUCUGUAGCAAGGUUAACCGAAUAGGGGAGCCGGAGGGAAACCGAGUCUUAAUUGGGCGUUAAGUUGCAGGGUAUAGACCCGAAACCCGGUGAUCUAGCCAUGGGCAGGUUGAAGGUUGGGUAACACUAACUGGAGGACCGAACCGACUAAUGUUGAAAAAUUAGCGGAUGACCUGUGGCUGGGGGUGAAAGGCCAAUCAAACCGGGAGAUAGCUGGUUCUCCCCGAAAGCUAUUUAGGUAGCGCCUCGUGAAUUCAUCUCCGGGGGUAGAGCACUGUUUCGGCUAGGGGGCCAUCCCGGCUUACCAACCCGAUGCAAACUGCGAAUACCGGAGAAUGUUAUCACGGGAGACACACGGCGGGUGCUAACGUCCGUCGUGAAGAGGGAAACAACCCAGACCGCCAGCUAAGGUCCCAAAGUCAUGGUUAAGUGGGAAACGAUGUGGGAAGGCCCAGACAGCCAGGAUGUUGGCUUAGAAGCAGCCAUCAUUUAAAGAAAGCGUAAUAGCUCACUGGUCGAGUCGGCCUGCGCGGAAGAUGUAACGGGGCUAAACCAUGCACCGAAGCUGCGGCAGCGAACGUAUCACUUAAAGCGAUUCAGCGGGUUACGAUUGACGGAGCG